RNAcentral lists this ribosomal RNA (330 nucleotides) under Triticum aestivum (bread wheat). RNAcentral describes it as "partial small subunit ribosomal RNA". Lineage: Eukaryota; Viridiplantae; Streptophyta; Magnoliopsida; Poales; Poaceae. The record is from RNAcentral.
AUGAUUCCAUCCAUAUUGGAUCAAUUCUCUAUACCACUUUGCAAUGAAAAGAGGAAUGUUUGUUAUGGUAAAACUUCGUUUAAAACGAUGUGGCAGAAAGCAACGUGCGACUUGAAGGACAUGAUCGAUUGUGGAUUUUGCUAUCCAUCAUUUUCCAUAGUAAUGAAAAUGCUCUUGGCUCGACAUAGCCUGUUCUAUUCGUUCCGAACCAAAUUUGCGCUAGGUUUAAGUAACAUAGUACAUGAUGGAGCUCGAGAGGACAUAAUUUUUUUUAUCAAGGGAAAGAAUCUAGGGUUAGUGAAAACUAAUAAAUUAGGCCAACUUUGUUAG